This 83-nucleotide transfer RNA is filed under the name Serendipita indica DSM 11827. RNAcentral describes it as "Piriformospora indica DSM 11827 tRNA". It matches the Rfam family "tRNA". Rfam says of the family: Transfer RNA (tRNA) molecules are approximately 80 nucleotides in length. Their secondary structure includes four short double-helical elements and three loops (D, anti-codon, and T loops). The record is from Rfam by way of RNAcentral. Lineage: Eukaryota; Fungi; Basidiomycota; Agaricomycetes; Sebacinales; Serendipitaceae.
GGGCUCAUGGCGGAGUGGUUACCGCGUUGGUCUUCGACUUAUUUGAAAACCAAAGGUCCUCGGUUCGACCCCGGGUGGGCUCG